UACGUAGGGUGCGAACGUUGUCCGGAAUUAUUGGGCGUAAAGAGCUCGUAGGCGGUCUGUCGCGUCUGCUGUGAAAUCCCGAGGCUCAACCUCGGGCUUGCAGUGGGUACGGGCAGGCUAGAGUGCGGUAGGGGAGAAUGGAACUCCUGGUGUAGCGGUGGAAUGCGCAGAUAUCAGGAAGAACACCGAUGGCGAAGGCAGUUCUCUGGGCCGUAACUGACGCUGAGGAGCGAAAGCGUGGGGAGCGAACAGG
RNAcentral lists this ribosomal RNA (253 nucleotides) under uncultured bacterium. RNAcentral describes it as "partial 16S ribosomal RNA". It matches the Rfam family "Bacterial small subunit ribosomal RNA", at positions 524 to 776 of the family's 1533-position model. The record is from RNAcentral.